GGCUCAUUGUAAUGGCUGAAAUGGAAUUGUUUUAUUCCAUUCCAGCCAUUACAAUGAGCCCAUCCUCCUAUAACUUCUCCCACCAGCCUCCUCUGACAUGCUAGUCUGUCACUAUUCCGUGUGGACAACUGUCAUCUAUCUAGCCGAGAACAGUAAUAAAGUUCGGCAUCUCCCCAUCAUGGAUGAAUAACUCUUCGAAUGGAUGGUGUGAUGGAGGGAUAACAAAGCUCUAAGGUGUGUCCUUUGGGGGUGUGGACAUGGCACGUGGCCUGUACACCUGUAGCUCCCUCAGUCCUCCGUCAGGUCAACAGUCUUCUGCUGGGUGCUGUCACACUGCCCAACAUCCUCUUCACAGGACAGGAAUUGUGGGAGAGCCUCCCUACGUCACAAUAGACUACAACUUUGAGCUAACCGGGGCUGGGAAGAUUCACGUCUUCAAGGGGCUUGCAAGACCUGACCAGAUGAAUAACGCAAAGUGAUUGUUUUUGUGAGAAGAGACAAUGGUUUCACAGCAAGAAAUCUGAAAUCUGAAUAUUUUUUACCUUCCUUGUUUACUGACUUCAAACACCAAGGCCAGAGUCAAGGCCGUUGAAUGUACAGAUGUACAGAACAUAAAGUUCCGGAGAUAGGACUGUGGAGUUGAGUGACUUAAAGCGGCAGGGUAGCCUAGUGGUUAGAGCGUUGGACUAGUAACCGAAAGGUUGCAAGUUCGAAUCCCCGAGCUGACAAGGUACAAAUCUGUCGUUCUGCCCCUGAACAGGCAGUUAACCCACUGUUCCUAGGCCGUCAUUGAAAAUAAGAAUUUCUUCUUAACUGACUUGCCUAGUAAACUAAAAUAAAAAUACGCUCCAGAUCACUCUUCUCAAGACUGCCAUAGCUAUGAUGGCCACCUUCUUGUAUGGGUCAAUUGGGUUGACCUUGGUCUUCAAUCACCAGAAUCGGAUUGGCCAGUGAUAUUCAUUAGUUCAGGAUGACUGUUUCAAAGUGUUUCUAUCACAUGGACAAUAUCUAGACAUGCAGUUAAAUGUCUGCAUCUGAAAUAGCACCAUAUGACCUAGUGCACACACAAGUAGUGCACCAUAUAGGGAAUAUGGUGCCAUUUCGGACACAAGCUAGGUUUCCAUCCAAUUGGCGACAGAUUCCAUCAAACUGACUUAUUGUGGAUAUAGAGGCUAGGCUGUGCGUGAUGAUCAGUGGUGAUUUUUGCAGAUAAAUCUUGGUGGGGCACACUCUGAAAAAUGUUUUUAGAUGCAUACCAGCAAAUCCACUACACUAAACAAUACAUUAAUUGCAUUAUAACGGUGACAAAUGGUGCCCACAAACUGACCUACUUAAAGCUGUCCUGACAGCAGAGCUUUCUUUUCAGCACCAUGGAGCGAGCUAGGAUGGACAUAGUCAAUAUAACUAUUUGUUCAGCACUUUUGAAAUGUACAGCGUCAGAAUUCAGAACAUGGGCCUUUCUUACAGUAUUCUCCCUGUACUCCAAGUCAGAACCGUAGGAUAAAUAUAGGGGACAUUUAAGCAGACAAUGAAAGCUCUUACAAUAUUUGAUGAUUACAUUUCUCUAAAACAGGCUAUAGGCUACAUGUGCACCUCCAAGUCAGAACAGUAGGCUAAGUUAUGAGGGGGAAAGGGAACAAAUUAUUUGGGUGAAGCGCAUGCACUACUAACAGCUUACUACACAACAUACACUUAGUAUUACUUUCUUAGCUACAGUAUACAUAUCUCCCUGGCAUAUUACAUAAUUUAUGCAGCAGCAUACAAUACAUUUUUGGACUCACAUUGUGCUCUGCUAACAUGAACAGGAAGGUGGUGUGACGAUCCUUGUGGGCAAGGAUCUAUAUAUAUAUAUAGCCUGUUUCACAUGUUAUUUUGGCAUUAAUACGUGUCACAUGUCAGUUUGCAAACAAUCAACAACAAAAAAAUCCUUAAGUUAAUAAAGUCGCAUACCACGUUUGUAUCUUUUGAUGCUACAUAAAAUCAGAGAAUGCCAGACUAUAUAGUACAUGUCAAAAGUUUGAACAACACAUUCAAGGGUUUUUCUUUAUUUUUACUAUUUUCUACAAUGUAGAAUAAUAGUGAAGACAUUGAAACUAUGAAAUAAGACCUAUGAAAUCAUGUAGUAACCAAAGUAGCCACAGUUUGCCUUGAUGACCGCUUUCCACACUCUUUUCCAACAAAUACUUUGUUUUGAAAAACUGUUGCAGGUCAAUGUGUCAAUAAGUUAUGAAUCCAUAUAGCACCCAUCCCCCCAGUUAAAGUGAUGAUAUACAAUAUGAGUACUUUCUACAUGUUUGGUUUGUCCAAAAAUAAUAUUUGGCCAAACUACAGGUUCAUUAUUUACAAGUGAUAUUAAUUAAUUGUCCGGACUAGGACAUGAAAGUGCUUGUAGGGGUCUUUGCUGACAAUGAAAAGCAUUAAAAGAAAAUGGAAUGUAACUUGCUCAACAAUCCAUCUCUCGAGCUAUUGUAUAGCACCUAUUGAUAUAUUCCAGAGCAAAUAAAUAUAAGCUCUACACAGCAAUGCGUCCAGUUUCUGGUAUAUAUUUUGUUUUUGGUCAAUAAAAAAAAAAUCACUGAAUAGUAGUGCACCAUGGAUUGUUAGACAGUAUUCCAUCCACGUUUCUUUUUUAAAGCAAGUAAUGGCUGUUGAUGUUUCAAUAAACAUCUCUAUGUUGCAUUUAUUUCUUAGAGUACUGGAUUACUGCACAUUGAUUUACCUAUUUAGGAAUCUGACCUUGUAACAAAAUGUGAACUAUGUCAUUGAUUUAUGAAUGGUACGAUUAAGGAGAUCAGUCUAUCUUCCAGAAUUGAAAUGAGACUUACAACCACAUUAAGAACUCCAGGGAAGGAUUGUUACCAAUACUCUAUUCUCUCUUUUUCCAUCUGUCUUUCUCUCUUUCCCUUGCUUUCUCUUAUCGCUCCUGUUUCAUCAGGAGUUGUUUGGCAGAAGUUGGAAAUGGGCCUAAAUAAAACAAUUUCAGGUCUUUUGUUUCCUAGGUGUAAGAUCUUUUCUUGUCCUGAAGAGGGCAUUUUAAGUAACCUCAUAAAUUCAUACCAGAGUGGUUCAUACAGUAAAGGAGUAUAUGUGAG
Molecule: long non-coding RNA, 3092 nt
Organism: Oncorhynchus tshawytscha (Chinook salmon)
Lineage: Eukaryota; Metazoa; Chordata; Actinopteri; Salmoniformes; Salmonidae
Source: Ensembl